GACAGGGUAGCCUAGUGGACAUGGCACCUGCCCGGUAAGCAGAAGGUUGUGGGUUCGAUUCCCGCCCCUGGACA
Non-coding RNA from Cordylochernes scorpioides, 74 nucleotides. NCBI's taxonomy places the organism in Eukaryota, Metazoa, Arthropoda, Arachnida, Pseudoscorpiones, Chernetidae. The record is from the annotation of a GenBank genome assembly.